GACGUAGGGCGCGAGCGUUGUCCGGAUUUAUUGGGCGUAAAGAGCUCGUAGGCGGCUUGUUGCGUCGACUGUGAAAACCCGCGGCUUAACUGCGGGCUUGCAGUUGAUACGGGCAGGCUAGAGUUCGGUAGGGGAGACUGGAAUUCCUGGUGUAGCGGUGAAAUGCGUAGAUAUCGAGAGGAACACCUGCGGCGAAGGCGGGUUGCUGGGCCGACACUGACGCUGAUGCGCGAAAGCCAGGGGAGCGAACGGG
RNAcentral lists this ribosomal RNA (253 nucleotides) under uncultured bacterium. RNAcentral describes it as "partial 16S ribosomal RNA". It matches the Rfam family "Bacterial small subunit ribosomal RNA", at positions 524 to 776 of the family's 1533-position model. The record is from RNAcentral.